GGACAGAGACUUCCCGGUGAGCUACUCUCUAUCGUUCCUACUCAAGUACUAUCUUGACUGCUAUCUAUCGUUCUAUUUUAACCUUCGUUAACAACCUUCCUUUCCUGGUCUUUCACUCCUUACUCUGAACGAGAUGAGCCCUCACUCCAGGAAGAAAAACCUUGCACCUUAGAAUAGAAUCGAUUCUAGCUACCUUUCGGAGAUUAAGUAGGCCCUUUCCUUUUCUCCGAGCUCCUAGGGUCUAUCCCUUCGGAGAGUUCCUAGGCUAACGUCUAUCCCUUUUCUUGCUUUCCCUAGUCCCUGACUCACAAGUAGUACAUUUAGAAAGAAUAGAUAUAGAAAACAGAGAUCCCGCUUAACCUUUCGUAGCUGACUUGAGUCCCUCAAAACUCAUUCGAUUGCUCGUGACGGAUAGAUACAUAUGGGGUUUAGCUAUUGAAGUGAGUCUUUGUCCGAGAUGCAUGUGUUAAAGCUAUUCUUCUAUUCUCUUUACUUACACCUUACACUUCCGCCUUAUC
RNAcentral lists this long non-coding RNA (518 nucleotides) under Panax ginseng (ginseng). RNAcentral describes it as "long non-coding RNA (PGIN_LNC005951)". The record is from RNAcentral. Lineage: Eukaryota; Viridiplantae; Streptophyta; Magnoliopsida; Apiales; Araliaceae.